Molecule: unclassified non-coding RNA, 114 nt
Filed under: Afipia felis (cat scratch disease bacillus)
Lineage: Bacteria; Pseudomonadati; Pseudomonadota; Alphaproteobacteria; Hyphomicrobiales; Nitrobacteraceae
Description: RNaseP_bact_a
Source: RNAcentral
CAAGACCGAAUAGGGAUGGCACAGUGGAAAGUUCGCCUCAGGGCGAUAACUCCGCGGGGCGAUGUCGAGCCCGCCAUCCGGGUAGGUUGCUAGAGGCGCGGAGCAAUCCACGUC